CUUCCUUGAUGGGAACUGAUCUUUGAUGGGGAUAAAUGUGUCCCCAGCUACUGUGGAGCAGGGACAGCAUUCUGUUUUGUAAGCCAGCCGUUCAGUUUCAAUCACCUCCACCUGAGCCGGUCACUCAGCAGAGGGUUCCGAGUGCCCUCUGUGUGUCAGGUGGUUGGCAUGUGCCCUCCCUCAGGAGCUCGUGAUGGAGGUGGGAGUUCACAUCUCCAGAUGGAGAAUCGGGCUCAUCCCAUGUGGCUUGCCCUGUGUCCUCAGCUAGUCGAGAGCCAAGUUGGGACUGGAACACUCUGUCCUUUCCACUGUGACAGGCCCUGGAUCCCACCCAGGGGCUGCAAAGAUAAAUUCAGACGUGUUCAAUUCUGUGUCCAAGAGGAGAAGGCAACAGCUUCACGUUCACCAAAGAGAAAUCCAAAGAUGUCACGACACCGGGAACCCACACUGAGUUCAAUUCCCAGACCUCACUGGUGAGGGGAUGAAGUCCCCAGGCCCCUGACCUUCCCAGGUCGGCAGCUGGCAGGCCAUGAGUCACCCAGAUCUCCCAGUUCCCAGGUUGGAGAUUUUCAUGCUGCUGCAUGGCCAAGGGCAGAAUGGAGACUGUGGCCAGGAACUGGAGUGGAGAAUUAGGAGCAAGUCUUCUCCAGGUCACAGGUCAACUGCCUCCAGUACUCAGAGUAAAGAAUAAUGGAUCUCUGGAAACUGAGGAGGGACCAUGCCAUCACAGACCUUUCAACAGCAUGACACAGCGUUCCUUUCCUGUGGCCUCUUGCAGACUCAAGGACAAAUUUCAGGACAGUCAUGGUGAAGACUAGUAUUUAG
This 825-nucleotide long non-coding RNA is filed under the name Marmota monax (woodchuck). Lineage: Eukaryota; Metazoa; Chordata; Mammalia; Rodentia; Sciuridae. The record is from RNAcentral.